This 626-nucleotide ribosomal RNA is filed under the name Pseudomonas aeruginosa. Its description in RNAcentral is "bacterial SSU rRNA". It matches the Rfam family "Bacterial small subunit ribosomal RNA", at positions 111 to 732 of the family's 1533-position model. Lineage: Bacteria; Pseudomonadati; Pseudomonadota; Gammaproteobacteria; Pseudomonadales; Pseudomonadaceae. The record is from RNAcentral.
UAAUGCCUAGGAAUCUGCCUGGUAGUGGGGGAUAACGUCCGGAAACGGGCGCUAAUACCGCAUACGUCCUGAGGGAGAAAGUGGGGGAUCUUCGGACCUCACGCUAUCAGAUGAGCCUAGGUCGGAUUAGCUAGUUGGUGGGGUAAAGGCCUACCAAGGCGACGAUCCGUAACUGGUCUGAGAGGAUGAUCAGUCACACUGGAACUGAGACACGGUCCAGACUCCUACGGGAGGCAGCAGUGGGGAAUAUUGGACAAUGGGCGAAAGCCUGAUCCAGCCAUGCCGCGUGUGUGAAGAAGGUCUUCGGAUUGUAAAGCACUUUAAGUUGGGAGGAAGGGCAGUAAGUUAAUACCUUGCUGUUUUGACGUUACCAACAGAAUAAGCACCGGCUAACUUCGUGCCAGCAGCCGCGGUAAUACGAAGGGUGCAAGCGUUAAUCGGAAUUACUGGGCGUAAAGCGCGCGUAGGUGGUUCAGCAAGUUGGAUGUGAAAUCCCCGGGCUCAACCUGGGGAACUGCAUCCAAAACUACUGAGCUAGAGUACGGUAGAGGGUGGUGGAAUUUCCUGUGUAGCGGUGAAAUGCGUAGAUAUAGGAAGGAACACCAGUGGCGAAGGCGACCACCUGG